AUCAUAAUCUUUUACAACGAAAAAUAGUUAACCUUCAAAUAAAACAGGUUUUAGGGAACAAACACGCUCUUCAAGCAGUUUCCCUAAAUUGUAACACAGCCAUUUGGCUUUUUGACUUUUUUUUACAUAAAAAUAAAACAAAAUAAUGGAUUUAGCUCCUGAAAUCGCUUGGUGUCCCUCCGAUUUGUUUCCCCUUACGAUUGCUCUUCUAUAUUGACGUCGUGCCUGAGAAAGGUUUAAUUGUAAAACCGAAACAGCUGUAGCACCGAUUUGCCAGUUUAAAUAAACUAUUUUUCGUCGUACAUUCAA
Long non-coding RNA from Onthophagus taurus, 309 nucleotides. RefSeq lists it as uncharacterized. The record is from RefSeq and is a predicted model, not a curated record. NCBI's taxonomy places the organism in Eukaryota, Metazoa, Arthropoda, Insecta, Coleoptera, Scarabaeidae.